RNAcentral lists this ribosomal RNA (2258 nucleotides) under Salmonella enterica subsp. enterica serovar Poona. Its description in RNAcentral is "partial 23S ribosomal RNA". It matches the Rfam family "Bacterial large subunit ribosomal RNA", at positions 560 to 2802 of the family's 2925-position model. Lineage: Bacteria; Pseudomonadati; Pseudomonadota; Gammaproteobacteria; Enterobacterales; Enterobacteriaceae. The record is from RNAcentral.
CCGCAAAAGAAGCAGAGGGGGCUUAGUGGUGGGGUGACUGCGUACCUUUUGUAUAAUGGGUCAGCGACUUAUAUUCUGUAGCAAGGUUAACCGUAUAGGGGAGCCGCAGGGAAACCGAGUCUUAACCGGGCGUUAAGUUGCAGGGUAUAGACCCGAAACCCGGUGAUCUAGCCAUGGGCAGGUUGAAGGUUGGGUAACACUAACUGGAGGACCGAACCGACUAAUGUUGAAAAAUUAGCGGAUGACCUGUGGCUGGGGGUGAAAGGCCAAUCAAACCGGGAGAUAGCUGGUUCUCCCCGAAAGCUAUUUAGGUAGCGCCUCGUGAACUCAUCUCCGGGGGUAGAGCACUGUUUCGGCUAGGGGGCCAUCCCGGCUUACCAACCCGAUGCAAACUGCGAAUACCGGAGAAUGUUAUCACGGGAGACACACGGCGGGUGCUAACGUCCGUCGUGAAGAGGGAAACAACCCAGACCGCCAGCUAAGGUCCCAAAGUCAUGGUUAAGUGGGAAACGAUGUGGGAAGGCCCAGACAGCCAGGAUGUUGGCUUAGAAGCAGCCAUCAUUUAAAGAAAGCGUAAUAGCUCACUGGUCGAGUCGGCCUGCGCGGAAGAUGUAACGGGGCUAAACCAUGCACCGAAGCUGCGGCAGCGACACUAUGUGUUGUUGGGUAGGGGAGCGUUCUGUAAGCCUGUGAAGGUGGCCUGUGAGGGUUGCUGGAGGUAUCAGAAGUGCGAAUGCUGACAUAAGUAACGAUAAAGCGGGUGAAAAGCCCGCUCGCCGGAAGACCAAGGGUUCCUGUCCAACGUUAAUCGGGGCAGGGUGAGUCGACCCCUAAGGCGAGGCCGAAAGGCGUAGUCGAUGGGAAACGGGUUAAUAUUCCCGUACUUGGUGUUACUGCGAAGGGGGGACGGAGAAGGCUAUGUUGGCCGGGCGACGGUUGUCCCGGUUUAAGCGUGUAGGUGUGUGUUCCAGGUAAAUCCGGUUCACUUUAACACUGAGGCGUGAUGACGAGGCACUACGGUGCUGAAGCAACAAAUGCCCUGCUUCCAGGAAAAGCCUCUAAGCAUCAGGUAACAUCAAAUCGUACCCCAAACCGACACAGGUGGUCAGGUAGAGAAUACCAAGGCGCUUGAGAGAACUCGGGUGAAGGAACUAGGCAAAAUGGUGCCGUAACUUCGGGAGAAGGCACGCUGACAUGUAGGUGAAGUGAUUUACUCAUGGAGCUGAAGUCAGUCGAAGAUACCAGCUGGCUGCAACUGUUUAUUAAAAACACAGCACUGUGCAAACACGAAAGUGGACGUAUACGGUGUGACGCCUGCCCGGUGCCGGAAGGUUAAUUGAUGGGGUCAGCGCAAGCGAAGCUCCUGAUCGAAGCCCCGGUAAACGGCGGCCGUAACUAUAACGGUCCUAAGGUAGCGAAAUUCCUUGUCGGGUAAGUUCCGACCUGCACGAAUGGCGUAAUGAUGGCCAGGCUGUCUCCACCCGAGACUCAGUGAAAUUGAACUCGCUGUGAAGAUGCAGUGUACCCGCGGCAAGACGGAAAGACCCCGUGAACCUUUACUAUAGCUUGACACUGAACAUUGAGCCUUGAUGUGUAGGAUAGGUGGGAGGCUUUGAAGUGUGGACGCCAGUCUGCAUGGAGCCGACCUUGAAAUACCACCCUUUAAUGUUUGAUGUUCUAACGUGGACCCGUAAUCCGGGUUGCGGACAGUGUCUGGUGGGUAGUUUGACUGGGGCGGUCUCCUCCUAAAGAGUAACGGAGGAGCACGAAGGUUGGCUAAUCCUGGUCGGACAUCAGGAGGUUAGUGCAAUGGCAUAAGCCAGCUUGACUGCGAGCGUGACGGCGCGAGCAGGUGCGAAAGCAGGUCAUAGUGAUCCGGUGGUUCUGAAUGGAAGGGCCAUCGCUCAACGGAUAAAAGGUACUCCGGGGAUAACAGGCUGAUACCGCCCAAGAGUUCAUAUCGACGGCGGUGUUUGGCACCUCGAUGUCGGCUCAUCACAUCCUGGGGCUGAAGUAGGUCCCAAGGGUAUGGCUGUUCGCCAUUUAAAGUGGUACGCGAGCUGGGUUUAGAACGUCGUGAGACAGUUCGGUCCCUAUCUGCCGUGGGCGCUGGAGAACUGAGGGGGGCUGCUCCUAGUACGAGAGGACCGGAGUGGACGCAUCACUGGUGUUCGGGUUGUCAUGCCAAUGGCACUGCCCGGUAGCUAAAUGCGGAAGAGAUAAGUGCUGAAAGCAUCUAAGCACGAAACUUGCCCCGA